Molecule: ribosomal RNA, 639 nt
Filed under: uncultured Bacilli bacterium
Lineage: Bacteria; Bacillati; Bacillota; Bacilli
Description: bacterial SSU rRNA
Rfam family: Bacterial small subunit ribosomal RNA
Source: RNAcentral
AGUGGCGAACGGGUGAGUAACACGUGGGUAACCUACCUCAUAGUGGGGGAUAACAGUCGGAAACGACUGCUAAUACCGCAUAGGACAUGGGAUCACAUGAUUCUGUGAGGAAAGGUGGCGCAAGCUAUCGCUAAGAGAUGGACCCGCGGUGCAUUAGCUAGUUGGUAGGGUAAGGGCCUACCAAGGCGAUGAUGCAUAGCCGACCUGAGAGGGUGAUCGGCCACAUUGGGACUGAGACACGGCCCAAACUCCUACGGGAGGCAGCAGUAGGGAAUCUUCCGCAAUGGACGCAAGUCUGACGGAGCAACGCCGCGUGAGUGAAGAAGGUCUUCGGAUCGUAAAGCUCUGUUGUUAGAGAAGAACAGCGCAUAGAGUAACUGUUAUGCGUGUGACGGUAUCUAACCAGAAAGCCACGGCUAACUACGUGCCAGCAGCCGCGGUAAUACGUAGGUGGCGAGCGCUGUCCGGAUUUAUUGGGCGUAAAGGGAGUGUAGGCGGUCUUUUAAGUCUGAUGUGAAAGCCCACGGCUCAACCGUGGAGGGUCAUUGGAAACUGGGAGACUUGAGUGCAGAAGAGGAGAGCGGAAUUCCAUGUGUAGCGGUGAAAUGCGUAGAUAUAUGGAGGACACCAGUGGCGAAG